Molecule: ribosomal RNA, 564 nt
Filed under: Ogataea polymorpha
Lineage: Eukaryota; Fungi; Ascomycota; Pichiomycetes; Pichiales; Pichiaceae
Description: partial large subunit ribosomal RNA
Rfam family: Eukaryotic large subunit ribosomal RNA
Source: RNAcentral
AAACCAACAGGGAUUGCCUUAGUAGCGGCGAGUGAAGCGGCAAGAGCUCAAAUUUGAAAUCUGGUACCUUCGGUGCCCGAGUUGUAAUUUGAAGAAAGCUAUCUUGGAGGUGGCCUUUGUCUAUGUUCCUUGGAACAGGACGUCAUGGAGGGUGAGAAUCCCGUGUGAUGAGGUGUCCAUUUCCGUGUAAGAUGCUUUCGAAGAGUCGAGUUGUUUGGGAAUGCAGCUCAAAGUGGGUGGUAAAUUCCAUCUAAAGCUAAAUAUUGGCGAGAGACCGAUAGCGAACAAGUACUGUGAAGGAAAGAUGAAAAGAACUUUGAAAAGAGAGUGAAAAAGUACGUGAAAUUGUUGAAAGGGAAGGGUAUUUGAUCAGACUUGGUAUUUAGCUAUCAUCGCUCCUUGUGGGUGGUGCUCUAGCUUUUUACUGGGCCAGCAUCAGUUUUGGUGGCAAGAUAAUGACAGUUGAAUGUGGCUCCUCGGAGUGUUAUAGCUUCUGUUGAUGUUGCCUACCGAGACUGAGGUCUGCGGCUUUUGCCUAGGAUGCUGGCGUAAUGAUCCAAUACC